Molecule: ribosomal RNA, 487 nt
Filed under: uncultured bacterium
Lineage: Bacteria
Description: partial 16S ribosomal RNA
Rfam family: Bacterial small subunit ribosomal RNA
Source: RNAcentral
GAUGAACGCUAGCGAUAGGCUUAACACAUGCAAGUCGAGGGGCAGCACAAGGUAGCUUGCUAUCUGGGUGGCGACCGGCGCACGGGUGCGUAACGCGUAUGCAACUUGCCCUAUACAGGAGGAUAACCCGUCGAAAGACGGACUAAUACUGCGUAUGCUCACAACUUGGCAUCAAGUGGUGAGGAAAGAAAUUCGGUAUAGGAUAGGCAUGCGUCCCAUUAGCUUGUUGGUGAGGUAACGGCUCACCAAGGCAACGAUGGGUAGGGGAACCGAGAGGUUUAUCCCCCACACUGGUACUGAGACACGGACCAGACUCCUACGGGAGGCAGCAGUGAGGAAUAUUGGUCAAUGGGCGCGAGCCUGAACCAGCCAAGUCGCGUGAAGGAUGACUGUCUUAUGGAUUGUAAACUUCUUUUAUACGGGAAUAACAAGAGUCACGUGUGACUCCCUGCAUGUACCGUAUGAAUAAGCAUCGGCUAACUCCGUG